UGGUUCAAAAACUUGAUCCCAAGAAUUUAAGACCGGCAAGUGGGAUAGUGCGCUUCGCGAUCGACGUGGCCAAAAAAAAAAAAAAGGGUCGCGCCAGGAGAGCGACUCUCCCAAGAAUAGAAAUCCCCAUCGCCACAAGCAGUCUCACGAGACGGCCAGACGGGAAAGUUCAUCUCCAACCAAGAGCAAAUCCAACUGCCACGGAGAGAUAAACUACACUAAAUCCAAGCUGUACAGGAGGAGAUCACACCUAAUCUAAUCAGGUUUCCUUCCUUCCUAGUAUGCUAAUAUUCCUUCAGGAUAAGCACGGGCAUUAAUAAAAUCACCCCACAGCAGGUGAUGGUAUAGCUGAGCCCAGCCCGUACUCCACUCCACAUGGUCAGGGCAGCUCAGAGCUUCGAUCACGGUGACUCGGAUCACUCCACACGAAGAUCACCGGACACCACGAGUGACCUCGCGGGCGGAGAAUCGCGUCACCGGCGAGGCGGACCGCGUACCUGACAGCGCCGCCGGGCGGGCUCCGGCGGCCGCCGCCGCCGCCGCCGUCGCUUGGCGCACGGUAAGGGCGCCGUGCGGGCGCGGACAGGGACCGACUGCCGCCGCGUCAGCGGGGUGCGCCCGGACAACGGCAAGUGGGGCAAUAAACGAGGCCGGGGAUGGCG
Molecule: long non-coding RNA, 662 nt
Filed under: Setaria italica (foxtail millet)
Lineage: Eukaryota; Viridiplantae; Streptophyta; Magnoliopsida; Poales; Poaceae
Description: long non-coding RNA (SITA_LNC003181)
Source: RNAcentral